This 74-nucleotide transfer RNA is filed under the name Caudoviricetes sp. Its description in RNAcentral is "tRNA-Lys". It matches the Rfam family "tRNA". Rfam says of the family: Transfer RNA (tRNA) molecules are approximately 80 nucleotides in length. Their secondary structure includes four short double-helical elements and three loops (D, anti-codon, and T loops). Lineage: Duplodnaviria; Heunggongvirae; Uroviricota; Caudoviricetes. The record is from RNAcentral.
GCCGUUUUAGCUCAUGUUGGAAGAGCACCGGACUUUUAAUCCGGGUGUGGCGGGUUCAACUCCCGCAAGCGGCA